RNAcentral lists this small RNA (107 nucleotides) under Marmota monax (woodchuck). The record is from RNAcentral. Lineage: Eukaryota; Metazoa; Chordata; Mammalia; Rodentia; Sciuridae.
GCCAGGUGGGGUCGCGCAUGCCUAUAAUCCCAGCAACUCAGGAGGCUGAGGCAGGAGGAUCGUAAAUUCUAGGUCAGCCUGGGUUACUUAGAAAAACCCUGUCUCAA